This is a long non-coding RNA of Zingiber officinale, 2418 nucleotides long. RefSeq lists it as uncharacterized. The record is from RefSeq and is a predicted model, not a curated record. NCBI's taxonomy places the organism in Eukaryota, Viridiplantae, Streptophyta, Magnoliopsida, Zingiberales, Zingiberaceae. The transcript is spliced from 6 exons.
CCAACGUGUACCGCAUGUGCGGGUGCAGAAGCUUGAACACCGGAUGCAUCGUGCUCAGCUGCCUGUGCGCUGCCAAUAUGAACGGCUCCAUCGUCGCGUGCGUCUUCAACCUACGCCAUGAACAGGAACCCCUCAGCUAAAGCGUCGUUUGAGCAGACAUGGGCCUUGCCGAGCAUCCACAGCCAAUUGGUAGUAGCAUCACGGGGCGGCAUCAACACCAUGCUGGGACGGGAUGCGCCUGGUUGCCGGGGAGGGAGUCCAAGCUCGAUUGCGAUCGGUUUCAGUGUCCCAAUGGGGGUCAAAAAGAAGAGGGUCCUCGUAGCGUAUGCUUUCCGGCCAUCCAUCAUGUUGAUUCUGUCCACGAAUGGCAGGUAUAUAUCGUGGAAGUCCAACAUGAACAGCUUCCCUUCCUCCACAGCCUUUUUAUUGUAUUAAUAACAUGACAAGGGUCAGCUGUAAGCGAAAUGCUGUGAAAGAUGAACAUGAUUCAGGCGGGCCAUAAAUUGCAGGGUCAAGAUUGCUUAAUGGAGGGAACGACUGUGCCAUAAUAGCCUUGUCAUUGUUUGCAACUCAGUUCAAUAUACAAGUGAUGUGGGGUUACCUGAAGCCUCUCUAUGUUGACAGGGUUGAUCCCUGCAACCGCUUGCCGAGCAAAUUCAUCAUCCCGGAGCCAUGCAAACUUAUCCUCUACAGUGCAAACCACAUGAGCAUGUCAGCAUGAGAACUGGUUCUUGUUACAUACCAAAAUCACUCAUUAGGAUAUUAAUGUUAGACUGCGAGAAAGUCAUGACAAGGAGCAUGUUGCUUCACUUACUUGUGAGGAUGCUUGGGGUGUCAUAUCGAAGCAGACCCUCGCUCGAUUCUUGUAUCUUUUUAACGAAUGGGAGCUUCUUGAGGAGAUGUUCCUGGAGGCCAAGCUUCAGGAUGAGGCCCUCCUUGUAGAGGUUGUCGAUGUGGUGGAACCCUUUGAAGUCAUGGUUAUCAGCAGAGAUGGAUGCAAUGAGUGACGGGAUGAAGCUGUGCAGCACAGCCUUGAGCCUUCCGGCUGCGAAGGCUCCCUGUUUUAGCUCCUCGAAUGCCUCGUCGCGUGGCACGUAGAUCGGAUUUGGCUUCUCAACUCGACUCUCAGCUAGCAUGUCUGUGCCAUGAAAUGAUGCACGGUCAUUAUAGAUCCAUUGAAUUAAAUGCCAAGGAUAAUGAUAUGUAACCAUCGCAUCAAAUCAAAUGGCUGUCAAUAGCAAGCUAGAAAAAUUUGGUACCGACCUUAUUGCUGAAGAAAAUUCUCUUCUUGGGGUGGUCCUUGGUGGAUUGAACCCAAGAGUUGCAGGAGAAAUGAACUGGUCCACACGAAGAGGUAGAGCCUUCUCCUUCGAUGACUACACUCUCCAAGAAGAACUCUUUCUGGUGGCGGUUGAUCACUGUGAUUGCUCCUGGCUCCCCGAAGCUGGAGUCUACCGUGAAGUCUGCCGUGUACACCACACGCUCUCCCUUGACGUUCUUCUUCUCGAACCAGUCCUUGAUCACUGUCGCUCCGCUCGUCUUUUGCUUUUUGGUUCCUAUGUUACAGAAGCAAGCCCAAGAACAGUUAGCGAAUUGCAGAGGGGAGAUAUGAAACAAGGUUUAUCAAUCAUGGGGAAGCAGAAAGGAAAAAGGUUGUUUGCUCUUGCGAGAACAAAGAACAAAGUUCAAGAUGCCUACUUUUGGGGAAUUUGAUCUCUCGAUCAUUGGGGAUCUGCAGAGACUCUCUAGAGGAGAUCAAGCAGCUCGAGGUUUAUAUGUAGGAACAAGCAUCUUAAGAUUUCACAAGGCUUACUCGGAUGGAUCCCGGUGCUGAUGAGUUCCAACACCACAUUCCGGCCAAACUUAUCCGUAAGAGCAUCAAGCUGGUUGACGAUCGCUUCCUUGAUAUCCUCUUUGUGCUUCCUUCUCACGGUCAGCGCAGCCCUGAGCAUGACUUUGUCCACCUUAGCCUGCUUCCCAACCACCAUCUUGAUCACAUCCUCAUUGAUUGUUGCUUUCACCGGUGCUGCCACGGUCUUCGCCGACCUCAGCCUUCUCCUCCUGUCUUGGCCAUCGGGGCAGAUAGCAGGGAAGGCAAGUUUGUUCUGAUUGCCUCUAAGCAAGAGGGAUCCACUGCCGAGGAGGAAAGAAGGCUGGUGUAAACCCAUGAUCUGACUGCAAACAGCCAUUCUUUCUUUGCAAAGAAAAGCAAAGAAAAUAUGGUUGCUUUCUUGCUGCCCUGUUCUUGGGAGAGACAGAGGAGGUGGUUCAGAGUUGGAAGAGGUAAUAUGUUGUUGUGUGUAUGUAACAUGUGGGAUGGCAUGUAUAUAAAGCUAACCCCACCCCGUUGAUUUCUAGUCUCUUACCAUGUGCACGUUUUUCAGUUUGAUUGCAAUUCGGAUGACUUUAGCACCAAAA